This 474-nucleotide ribosomal RNA is filed under the name uncultured bacterium. RNAcentral describes it as "partial 16S ribosomal RNA". It matches the Rfam family "Bacterial small subunit ribosomal RNA", at positions 28 to 507 of the family's 1533-position model. The record is from RNAcentral.
GAUGAACGCUAGCGGCAGGCCUAACACAUGCAAGUCGAGGGAGGAGCUUUCGGGCUUCGACCGGCGUACGGGUGCGUACCGCGUAUACAAUCUGCCUUUCACAUAGGGAUAGCCCGAAGAAAUUUGGAUUAAUACCUAAUGGUAUAUAGAGGUGGCAUCACCUUUAUAUUAAAGCUGAGGCGGUGAAAGAUGAGUAUGCGUUCUAUUAGCUAGUUGGAGAGGUAACGGCUCCCCAAGGCGACGAUAGAUAGGGGUUCUGAGAGGGAUAUCCCCCACACUGGUACUGAGAUACGGACCAGACUCCUACGGGAGGCAGCAGUGAGGAAUAUUGGACAAUGGUCGGAAGACUGAUCCAGCCAUGCCGCGUGCAGGAAGACGGCCUUAUGGGUUGUAAACUGCUUUUGCAGGGGAAGAAUAAGGACUACGCGUAGUUUGAUGACGGUACUCUGCGAAUAAGCAUCGGCUAACUCCGUG